Oryza barthii is the source of this 206-nucleotide non-coding RNA. Lineage: Eukaryota; Viridiplantae; Streptophyta; Magnoliopsida; Poales; Poaceae. The record is from Rfam.
AAUAAGUGCAGUUUUACACUAUUCACGUUCAACGUUUGACCAUUUGUCUUAUUUGAAAUUUUUUUAUUAGUAUAUUUUAUUGCUAUUAGAUGAUAAAACAUGAAUAGUACUUUAUGUGUAACUAAAUAUUUUCAAAUUUUUUACAAAUUGUUCAAAUAAGACGGAUGAUCAAAUGUUGGGCACGGAUAUCCACGGCUGCACUUAUU